AGCGAACGCUGGCGGCAGGCCUAACACAUGCAAGUCGAACGAACUCUUCGGAGUUAGUGGCGGACGGGUGAGUAACACGUGGGAACGUGCCUUUAGGUUCGGAAUAACUGAGGGAAACUUGUGCUAAUACCGAAUGUGCCCUUCGGGGGAAAGAUUUAUCGCCUUUAGAGCGGCCCGCGUCUGAUUAGCUAGUUGGUGAGGUAAAGGCUCACCAAGGCGACGAUCAGUAGCUGGUCUGAGAGGAUGAUCAGCCACAUUGGGACUGAGACACGGCCCAAACUCCUACGGGAGGGAGCAGUGGGGAAUCUUGCGCAAUGGGCGAAAGCCUGACGCAGCCAUGCCGGGUGAAUGAUGAAGGUCUUAGGAUUGUAAAAUUCUUUCACCGGGGACGAUAAUGACGGUACCCGGAGAAGAAGCCCCGGCUAACUUCGUG
This 433-nucleotide ribosomal RNA is filed under the name uncultured bacterium. RNAcentral's name for it is "partial 16S ribosomal RNA". It matches the Rfam family "Bacterial small subunit ribosomal RNA", at positions 29 to 507 of the family's 1533-position model. The record is from RNAcentral.